RNAcentral lists this ribosomal RNA (731 nucleotides) under Salmonella enterica subsp. enterica serovar Typhimurium. Its description in RNAcentral is "partial 23S ribosomal RNA". It matches the Rfam family "Bacterial large subunit ribosomal RNA", at positions 1 to 763 of the family's 2925-position model. Lineage: Bacteria; Pseudomonadati; Pseudomonadota; Gammaproteobacteria; Enterobacterales; Enterobacteriaceae. The record is from RNAcentral.
GGGUUGUGAGGUUAAGCGACUAAGCGUACACGGUGGAUGCCCUGGCAGUCAGAGGCGAUGAAGGACGUGCUAAUCUGCGAUAAGCGCCGGUAAGGUGAUAUGAACCGUUAUAACCGGCGAUUUCCGAAUGGGGAAACCCAGUGUGACUCGUCACACUAUCAUUAACUGAAUCCAUAGGUUAAUGAGGCGAACCGGGGGAACUGAAACAUCUAAGUACCCCGAGGAAAAGAAAUCAACCGAGAUUCCCCCAGUAGCGGCGAGCGAACGGGGAGGAGCCCAGAGCCUGAAUCAGCAUGUGUGUUAGUGGAAGCGUCUGGAAAGGCGCGCGAUACAGGGUGACAGCCCCGUACACAAAAGCGCAUGUGCUGUGAGCUCGAUGAGUAGGGCGGGACACGUGGUAUCCUGUCUGAAUAUGGGGGGACCAUCCUCCAAGGCUAAAUACUCCUGACUGACCGAUAGUGAACCAGUACCGUGAGGGAAAGGCGAAAAGAACCCCGGCGAGGGGAGUGAAAAAGAACCUGAAACCGUGUACGUACAAGCAGUGGGAGCACAGGUUUACCUGUGUGACUGCGUACCUUUUGUAUAAUGGGUCAGCGACUUAUAUUCUGUAGCAAGGUUAACCGUAUAGGGGAGCCGGAGGGAAACCGAGUCUUAAUUGGGCGUUAAGUUGCAGGGUAUAGACCCGAAACCCGGUGAUCUAGCCAUGGGCAGGUUGAAGGUUGGGUAACACU